This 800-nucleotide ribosomal RNA is filed under the name uncultured alveolate. RNAcentral describes it as "SSU rRNA". It matches the Rfam family "Eukaryotic small subunit ribosomal RNA", at positions 1 to 825 of the family's 1831-position model. The record is from RNAcentral.
AACCUGGUUGAUCCUGCCAGUAGUCAUAUGCUUGUCUCAAAGAUUAAGCCAUGCAUGUCUAAGUAUAAGCCUUUGUACGGCGAAACUGCGAAUGGCUCAUUAAAACAGUUAUAGUUUAUUCGAUAAUCAAUUGCUACAUGGAUAACUGUAGUAAUUCUAGAGCUAAUACAUGCGUCAGCACCCAACUUUACGGAAGGGUCGUGUUUAUUAGAUACAAAACCAACAUCUCGUUGGUGACUCAUAAUAACCAAGCGAAUCGUCGGUUUACCGACGAUAGAUCGUUCAAGUUUCUGACCUAUCAGCUUUCGACGGUAGUGUAUUGGACUACCGUGGCUAUGACGGGUAACGGAGAAUUAGGGUUCGAUUCCGGAGAGGGAGCCUGAGAAACGGCUACCACAUCUAAGGAUGGCAGCAGGCGCGCAAAUUACCCAAUCCUGACACAGGGAGGUAGUGACAAGAUAUAACAAUGCAGGGCAAAUUGUCUUGCAAUUGGAAUGAGUAAAUUCUAAACCCCUUUGCGAGUACCAAUUGGAGGGCAAGUCUGGUGCCAGCAGCCGCGGUAAUUCCAGCUCCAAUAGCGUAUAUUAAAGUUGUUGCGGUUAAAAAGCUCGUAGUUGGAUUUCUGCCGAGGACGACCGUCCGACCCAUACGGGUUUGUGACUGGUUAGACCGAGGCAUCCUCUUGGAAGACGUGUUCCACUUUACUGUGGUCACGGAGUCCAGGACUUUUACUUUGAGGAAAUUAGAGUGUUUCAAACAGGCUUACGCCGUGAAUACAUUAGCAUGGAAUAAUAAGAUAG